UUGCACCUAGCCUCACCUGAGGGCUUUUUAAAACACAUAACAACAUGCAAUUACUCAAAUCUGAAUAAGUUUAUCCACAACAAUACGAUUUGAAGUUCUACCAUAUUAUAAAAUAAAAAACAAGUCAUCAACAUGAUGCCUUGGUGCAGUGCAUGCCAUACAACAGAACAGUUAUCCUAUAUAAACUCAUGCAAGAUUCGAUUGUAUUCAUAGUCAUCACAGGUUAUACGAUACCAGAACUGACGAUAAAUAUUUGAUGUGGUUGGAUUUCUAUGUUACAAGCACAAGAGGUGAAGUUUCAAUCUACAUACGUAACUAAUCAAAGGGGUCAAUGCGUGGAUCAUGUUCGCUUGCCAUAGCCAUUCCUGUACAAAGACAAGUUGGGCACAUAACCUGCAAAAGUCAGAUGUUAACAUGCAUAAUUUAGUACGCAAAUAGACCAAUCGCAUAUGAUUAAAAUAAUGCAUGCUUACUUUUCCUGCACCGGAACAGUUGGAACAUCUUUCAGUUUUAGGCGGCAACUAAAGUCCCCUCUAUAAGCUUUCAUUGUAACACAUGGAAAAAUUGAAAUAGGAUUGCAAAAAAAAUAGAAUUCCUCUCUGAGAAAUUGACAUAAUAAAUCAUCUAGCGGGUCAUAAUGGUGACACCUUACGGAAACCCCUCAUCGUUUAUCUAUGGGAAGGUCAUAAGGAAUGAGCGAAAUCAAUACCAACAACACGUUUUUGAUGCCUUGGUUGAGGAUGAGAGAAAAACUCAAAGAUAUAAGUGUGCCCGGGUGGGGAGUGUUUCAAGAUGAGCGGUCUUCUUCCAAAACAGACAAUAUUGGAUGGCAUGAGAAGUUGGAUGGGCAAACCUCAUCGAGAACGAUGAGUCUCUAAGGUGUAGUUGUGACCGUUUACACAAAUCCACAUCAAUAGUCUACAAGAGAGAUAUCGGUUCAUAAAAAAUAUCUCACCCCGAAUAUCAUCAACGUGUUUUGGGCGUUAGGUUGAGUGGAACUAAACACUUACACGUGUUAGGGGACGUUUUAGGAUGGGGACCUCCUGAUAAGUCUUCACUCAUGUAAUCAGAAAUACGAAAGGCGGUUGUUACAACAAUAAUGUCCACCAACCACAACAUACAAGUACAAUUAAAAAGUUUCAGCAUCAAUAACCUUAGUUUCUAUUAUCAAGUCUAUUCAACGCAACAUAAGAACACACACAACAAUACAUAUCCAAAAUUAGAGAAACCUGCUCACCUCCUCCAUAUGCAAAAAUAUCUUAUUCCGACGACUCCUAAUAUUAUCCUGAAUUUCCUGUAU
This 1300-nucleotide long non-coding RNA is filed under the name Helianthus annuus (common sunflower). RNAcentral's name for it is "sRNA HanXRQr2_Chr14g0668161". Lineage: Eukaryota; Viridiplantae; Streptophyta; Magnoliopsida; Asterales; Asteraceae. The record is from RNAcentral.